RNAcentral lists this ribosomal RNA (253 nucleotides) under uncultured prokaryote. RNAcentral's name for it is "partial 16S ribosomal RNA". It matches the Rfam family "Bacterial small subunit ribosomal RNA", at positions 524 to 776 of the family's 1533-position model. The record is from RNAcentral.
UACAGAGGUCUCAAGCGUUGUUCGGAUUCAUUGGGCGUAAAGGGUGCGUAGGCGGCGCGGUAAGUCGGGUGUGAAAUCUCGGGGCUUAACUCCGAAACUGCAUUCGAUACUGCCGUGCUUGAGGACUGGAGAGGAGACUGGAAUUUACGGUGUAGCAGUGAAAUGCGUAGAUAUUCGCAAGAACACCAGUGGCGAAGGCGGCUCACUGGCCCGAUACUGACGCUGAUGCACGAAAGCGUGGGGAGCAAACAGG